AAUAUAUUUUAUUUUGGUAUUUUAAUUUUUUAUGUUCUUUUAUUUACAUACAAAUUUUUGUGUUUUGUAUUUUAAUAUUUAAAAUGUAGUAAUUAUUGUUACUUUUUUAAUGAGAUUUAGACUUAUAAAUAGAUUUAAAGAUUCAACUAAUUUUGUGCCAGCAGUUGCGGUUACACAAUUGAAUCAGAAAAAUUUUUAAAAUAAAUUAAUUAUUCAUUAUUUAGAUUAAAAAUAAAAAUUUAAAGGUAAAAUUUUAUUUUUUAGGAAAAAUCUUUAUUUAUAAUUAAGAAAUUAAUCUAUAAACCAGGAUUAGAUACCCUGUUAUUAAAAUGUAAAUUUAUUGGAGUAGUAAGAGUUAAGAUCUUUAAACUCAAAGAAUUUGGCGGUAUUUCAUCUUAUUAGAGGAACCUGUUUAUUAAUUGAUAUUCCACAACUUAAAUUUACCUUUAUGAGAUUAUUUGUAUACCGCUGUCAUGAAUCUAUUUAAAAAUUAUUUUCAGAAUUUUUUAUUGAAGUUAUGUUAGGUCAAGGUGCAGUUUUUAGGGGAUAAAAUGGGUUACUUUAUUUAAUAUGAAUGAAUUUUCUUGAUAGUUAAGUUAUAAAAAUGGAUUUAUAAGUAAAGAGAUUAUUAAAGAUUUUAUAUGAAUAAAGAUUCUGAAAUAUGUACACAUUGCCCGUCGCUCUUGCUUAAAGUAAGAUAAGUCGUAACAUAGUAGAUGUACUGGAAAGUGUCUCUGGAAUUGG
Molecule: non-coding RNA, 744 nt
Filed under: Cyamophila willieti
Lineage: Eukaryota; Metazoa; Arthropoda; Insecta; Hemiptera; Psyllidae
Source: RNAcentral